GACCACGUAGCUCAGUUGGCAGAGUGUUAAUUGGACUAGUAUCCCAAAGAUCGCGGGUUCGAUUCCCACCGUGGCCA
Molecule: non-coding RNA, 77 nt
Organism: Paramuricea clavata
Lineage: Eukaryota; Metazoa; Cnidaria; Anthozoa; Malacalcyonacea; Plexauridae
Source: the annotation of a GenBank genome assembly